CACCUACGGGAGGCAGCAGUGGGGAAUCUCGCACAAUGGAGGAAACUCUGAUGCAGCGACGCCGCGUGGACGACGAAGCCCUUCGGGGUGUAAAGUCCUUUCGACCGGAACGAUAAUGACGGUACCGGUGGAAGAAGCUGCGGCUAACUACGUGCCAGCAGCCGCGGUAAUACGUAGGCAGCAAGCGUUGCUCGGAAUUAUUGGGCGUAAAGAGCUCGUAGGCGGUUUGCCAAGUUUGGUGUGAAAUCUCCCGGCUUAACUGGGAGGGUGCGCCGAAUACUAGCAGGCUAGAGUACGGGAGAGGAAAGCGGAAUUCCUGGUGUAGCGGUGAAAUGCGUAGAUAUCAGGAGGAACACCUGCGGUGUAGACGGCUUUCUGGACCGAAACUGACGCUGAGGAGCGAAAGCGUGGGUAGCAAACAGGAUUAGAUCCCCUGGUAGUCCACGCCCUUAUCGUUACAUACUUGGUGUGA
RNAcentral lists this ribosomal RNA (472 nucleotides) under uncultured bacterium. Its description in RNAcentral is "bacterial SSU rRNA". It matches the Rfam family "Bacterial small subunit ribosomal RNA", at positions 335 to 825 of the family's 1533-position model. The record is from RNAcentral.